RNAcentral lists this long non-coding RNA (526 nucleotides) under Mus musculus (house mouse). RNAcentral describes it as "predicted gene 13348, transcript variant 5 (Gm13348)". Lineage: Eukaryota; Metazoa; Chordata; Mammalia; Rodentia; Muridae. The record is from RNAcentral.
AGUAUGAAAGGAGACUGAAGUGAACAUCAUGAGAUAAGAUUCAAGGGGGAACUGAACUCAACCAGGAAGCUAGGUAGUGCCACCUCUGCUGAUUCAUGUUUGAUAUCCAAAUUCUACUGAACUGGACUGCUGGUGUAUCUGUGAAGUGUUUCUGAGUGGAUUGAGCUGUUGCCAUUGGCCUGUGAACUGAACUGCUGAUUUCCAGACAACACAGAUGAGAGUUGCUUCAAAGAACCCUUCCUAAACAGGUGACAGUUCAUGAAAGCUCCAUUCGUGGACGUCUACGCACAACUUGAUGGUCACUCAACAGAGCCAAGAAUCUCCUCUUGACAGUGCUGUUGAUACCAUACAGCAGCAGAGGCAGACCUGAUAGAUCUUCACUUGCUGACAUCCACUUCCUAACUUGCUGCCUCACCCUUUGACAAGCAUGAUGUCCCAGCCAGAAGAGGAUGUUCAUCUACUACCCACUUCAAAGUACUGAUGUAUGCUAAGGGUUCAAUAAACAUCUGAAAAUAUUCAUCGCUGA